UACAGGGGGUGCAAACGUUGCUCGGAAUCAUUGGGCGUAAAGCGCACGUAGGCGGUUCGUUAUGUCGGAUGUGAAAGCCCUUGGCUUAACCGAGGAAGUGCAUCCGAAACUGGCGAGCUAGAGUACUAAAGAGGAUCGCGGAAUUCCCGGUGUAGAGGUGAAAUUCGUAGAUAUCAGGAGGAACACCGGUGGCGAAGGCGGGUCUCUGGGCCAUUACUGACGCUGAGGAGCGAAAGCGUGGGGAGCGAACAGG
RNAcentral lists this ribosomal RNA (253 nucleotides) under uncultured bacterium. Its description in RNAcentral is "partial 16S ribosomal RNA". It matches the Rfam family "Bacterial small subunit ribosomal RNA", at positions 524 to 776 of the family's 1533-position model. The record is from RNAcentral.